Molecule: long non-coding RNA, 376 nt
Filed under: Pan troglodytes (chimpanzee)
Lineage: Eukaryota; Metazoa; Chordata; Mammalia; Primates; Hominidae
Description: long non-coding RNA NONPTRT000249
Source: RNAcentral
GACCCUUUCUGGGUCUGCCUGAUUCAGCUGGAGAGGUUGUAAUAAGAAUUGAGCCCCGGUGUGUUGUGUAAAACUGAUUAAACGGCUGGUCAGUAAAUGUGACUGAUGAAAUUGUAUCUCCCACUGAAUCCCUGAACAGAUGCUGCCACCAGGGUAGUUGGAGCUUCAAAGCUCUCAUCCAACUCUUCCUCUCUCUUUCCAUUCCCGUGGCUGUUGUCUGUCUUUCUGAUUACCCUGCACCCCAUCAUCCACUCCAAUCCAUCCUCUACAUAGUGGCUAAAUAGAUCUUUAAAGGCUCAAACCUUCCUAGACAGUAACGCCUUCCUACCUUGGCCUGCCAUUUAGGGGUCUUUCUGAUGGAAUUCCAGCUUAACUU